RNAcentral lists this unclassified non-coding RNA (324 nucleotides) under uncultured fungus. RNAcentral describes it as "partial contains 5.8S ribosomal RNA and internal transcribed spacer 2". The stretch from base 1 to 133 matches the Rfam family "5.8S ribosomal RNA", at positions 22 to 154 of the family's 154-position model. The record is from RNAcentral. Lineage: Eukaryota; Fungi.
UGGUUCUGGCAUCGAUGAAGAACGCAGCGAAAUGCGAUAAGUAAUGUGAAUUGCAGAAUUCAGUGAAUCAUCGAAUCUUUGAACGCACAUUGCGCCCGCUAGUAUUCUGGCGGGCAUGCCUGUUCGAGCGUCAUUUCAACCCUCAAGCACUGCUUGGUGUUGGGGCGCUGCGGUUCACCCCGCAGGCCCUGAAAUUUAGUGGCGGGUCUGCUGUAAUCCCGAGCGUAGUAAUACAUCUCGCUUAGGGUGUUACGGUGGACACUUGCCGUUAAACCCUCUUUAUCUCUUAAAGUUGACCUCGGAUCAGGUAGGAAUACCCGCUGA